ACCACGAACCAAAUCUAUGAACCUCACCCAAGUUCGUGAACCAAAUACCACGAAUCAUAACCCAAGUUCAUGAAUCAAGGCCUAUGAACCAAAAUAAACCAAGUUCAUGAACCACGAACCAAAUCUAUGAACCUCACCCAAGUUCGUGAACCAAAUACCACGAAUCAUAAACCAAGUUUGUGAACCAAACACCACGAAUCAUACCCAAGUUCAUGAACCAUACUCAAGUUCGUGAACCAAACCCAAUGAACCAUAUCCAAGUUUAUAAAACAAAUCCCAUACACUAAACCUCAUGAACCAUGAACCAAAUUACAUGGAUCAUAAACCAAAUCCCAUACCUAAAUAUCAUGAAUUAUGGAGCAAAUGCCAUACACUGAAUCCCAUAAACCAUAAACCAUAAAUCAAAUCCAUGAACCAUAUCCAAGUUCAUGAACCAAAUCCCAAAUACCCAAACCUCAUGAACUAAAUGUCAUAUACCAAAUUCUAUAAACCACACCCAAGUUCAUGAACCAAACCUCAUGAAUCAUAUACCAAACCCUAUAAACCAUACCCAAGUUCAUGAACCAAAUCUCAUGAACCACAUCAAAGUUCAUGGACCAUAAAUCAAAACCAAGUACUAUACACCAAAUUCAUGAACCAUACACUAUACACCAAGUUCACGAACCAUACUCCAAACCUCAUGAACCAAUACCCAAAUCUCAUAAACCUUACCCAAGUUCGUGAACCAAACACCAUGGACCAUACCCAAAUUCAUGAACCAAACACCAUCGACCAUACCCAAAUUCAUGAACCAAAACACCACGAACCAUACACCAAGUUUAUGAACCAUACACCAUAUCCCAUAAACUAUACACCAAGUUCAUGAACCAUACUCCAAACCUCGUGAACAAAUAUACCAAAUCUCAUGAACCAAAUACCCAAAUCUCAUGAACCAUACAUCGUGAACUUUUUCUUUACUUUAGCUCAUAUACCUAGAGUAAAAAAUUAAAUGCAAAAUCGACUACCCCUAAUACAUAUACUUAGGGCUAAGAUAACAUCGACUAGGUCUUAACACAUAUACUUAGGAUCUAGUCAGCCUCAAAUCCAACUAAAUUCUAAUACAUAUACUUAGGAUUCAAUAAACCAAGAUAUGAUCCAUUCAAUCCCAUCUUUACAAAGAUCUCUUAAUCG
Molecule: long non-coding RNA, 1170 nt
Filed under: Ananas comosus (pineapple)
Lineage: Eukaryota; Viridiplantae; Streptophyta; Magnoliopsida; Poales; Bromeliaceae
Description: long non-coding RNA (ACOM_LNC026934)
Source: RNAcentral